RNAcentral lists this non-coding RNA (17 nucleotides) under Phytophthora cryptogea. RNAcentral also lists the same sequence under 345 other names. Lineage: Eukaryota; Oomycota; Peronosporomycetes; Peronosporales; Peronosporaceae. The record is from RNAcentral.
CUGCGGAAGGAUCAUUA